Long non-coding RNA from Gorilla gorilla gorilla (western lowland gorilla), 1577 nucleotides. RefSeq lists it as uncharacterized. The record is from RefSeq and is a predicted model, not a curated record. The transcript has 2 exons. Lineage: Eukaryota; Metazoa; Chordata; Mammalia; Primates; Hominidae.
UUGACUGAAGGGAAUCAAAUGGCCGAUUGCCUAGUUGCUAAUGCAGUAUCUAAUGCUAGACACUUUCACAAUGCUAGACACUUUCACAUGUUAAUGCCUGUGGUCUCAAACGCAGAUACAGCAUUACUUGGAAAGAAGCUAAAGCUAUUAUCCAGCAAUGCCCAACUUGACAAAUGGUAUAUUCCUCAUCUUUUACAGGAGGAGUUAAUCCUAGAGGAUUGGAACCUAACUCUCUUUGGCAAAUGGAUGUCACACAUGUUCCCUCAUUUGGGAGACUAGCUUAUGUACAUGUAUGUGUGGACACCUUUUCUCACUUUGUCUGGGCUACAUGCCAAACAGGAGAGUCUUCUGCCUGUGUUAAACAUCAUCUUUUACAGUGUUUUGUGGUGAUCAGCAUUCCAGCUUCUAUUAAAACAGAUAAUGCCCCAGGCUAUAUUAGCCAAGCUCUAGCUACAUUUUUCUCUAUGUGGAAUAUUAAACACAUUACUGGUAUCCCAUACAAUUCUCAAGGACAAGCCAUAGUGGAAAGAAUGAAUCUUUCCCUAAAACAGCAGUUGCAAAAGCAGAAAGGGGGAGACAGAGAAUAUGGAACCCUGCAGAUGAAACUGAAUCUAGCAUUAUUAACUAAAUUUUUUGAGCCUGCCCAAAAGGCCAAAUGUUAUCAGCAGCUGAACAGCAUCUACAGAAACCAGCUGCAAAGACAGAAGCAGAACAACUGAUUUGGUGGAGAGAUCCAAUAACAAAAAGUUGGGAAAUAGGUAAAAUAAUAAUUUGGGGUAGAGGUUAUGCUUGUGUUUCUCCAGGCCAAAAUCAACAGCUGAUUUGGAUACCAUCAAGACACCUGAAACCUUAUCAUGAGCCAGAUUCUGGGAGGAUCCCAAGGACCCCUCAGUUGCAGCCAUGGUGAGACUGACACUGAGGAGGACCCCAGCUGUCACAAGCAACACCUGUUGAACACAGCCACCCACCUGGGGACAGAUCAAGAAGCUGUCACAGAUGGCAGAAGAAAACGUGAGGAAAGCGGGACAACCAGUCACAAUGGUCUGCAGAUGUGGAUCCUGACUCCUGAGAGAAGUAGCUCACCAUGACAAAUCUGCCUUUGCUUUUAUCAAUUUGCAAAUCAAAGAAGGGGGACAUGUUGGGAACAAGCCCCCCCCCCAAAUCUGGCCAUAAACUGGCCCCAAAACUGGCCAUAAACAAAAUCUCUGCAGCACUGUGACAUGUUCAAGAUGGCCAUAAAGCCCAUGCUGGAAGGUUAUGGGUUUACUGGAAUGACGGCAAGGAACACCUGGCCUGCCCAGGACAGAAAACCACUUAAAGGCAUUCUUAAGCCACAAACAAUAGCAUGAGCAAUCUGUGCCUUAAGGACAUGCUCUGCUGCAGUUGACUAGCCCAACCUAUUCCUUUAAUUUGGCCCAUCCCUUCAUUUCCCAUAAGGGAUACUUUUAAUUAAUCGAAUAUCUAUAGAAACAAUGCUAAUGACUGGCUUGCUGUUAAUAAAUACAUGGGUAAAUCUCUGUUCGGGGCUCUCAGCUCUGAAGGCUGUGAGAUCCCUGAUUUCCCACUGUAAACCUCAA